Molecule: transfer RNA, 65 nt
Filed under: Dipodomys ordii (Ord's kangaroo rat)
Lineage: Eukaryota; Metazoa; Chordata; Mammalia; Rodentia; Heteromyidae
Rfam family: tRNA
About the family: Transfer RNA (tRNA) molecules are approximately 80 nucleotides in length. Their secondary structure includes four short double-helical elements and three loops (D, anti-codon, and T loops).
Source: Rfam by way of RNAcentral
GGUGGCUCAGUGGUAGAGUGCUUGACUUGCAUACAUGGGGCCCUGGGUUCGAUUCCUCAGCACCA